RNAcentral lists this ribosomal RNA (497 nucleotides) under uncultured bacterium. RNAcentral's name for it is "partial 16S ribosomal RNA". It matches the Rfam family "Bacterial small subunit ribosomal RNA", at positions 28 to 507 of the family's 1533-position model. The record is from RNAcentral.
GACGAACGCUGGCGACGUGCCUAAUACAUGCAAGUUGAGCGCUGAAGGCUGGUACUUGUACCAACUGGAUGAGCAGCGAACGGGUGAGUAACGCGUGGGGAAUCUGCCUUUGAGCGGGGGACAACAUUUGGAAACGAAUGCUAAUACCGCAUAAAAACUUUAAACACAAGUUUUAAGUUUGAAAGAUGCAAUUGCAUCACUCAAAGAUGAUCCCGCGUUGUAUUAGCUAGUUGGUGAGGUAAAGGCUCACCAAGGCGAUGAUACAUAGCCGACCUGAGAGGGUGAGCGGCAACAUUGGGACUGAGACACGGCCCAAACUCCUACGGGAGGGAGCAGUAGGGAAUCUUCGGCAAUGGACGAAAGUCUGAACGAGCAACGCCGCGUGAGUGAAGAAGGUUGUCGGAUCGUAAAACUCUGUUGGUAGAGAAGAACGUUGGUGAGAGUGGAAAGCUCAUCAAGUGACGGUAACUACCCAGAAAGGGACGGCUAACUACGUG